Molecule: non-coding RNA, 113 nt
Filed under: Stephanopyxis turris
Lineage: Eukaryota; Bacillariophyta; Melosirophyceae; Stephanopyxales; Stephanopyxidaceae
Source: RNAcentral
AUUCCAGAAGAAAAUGGCAAAGAAAUCAAAAGGUGGAAAGAAGUAAUUAAUUGGUUUGUUCUUUGUUUUUUUGUGUCAUUUUCGAUUUAAUUACUUUAAGUGAAUUAUACUGA